AUCAGCAGCCAUAUCACUCUGCAACUCACAACUGGCAACCCUGAAGCUAAGCAGGUAUGAGACUGGUCAGUACCUGGAUGGGAGACCUCCAGGGAAAAACUAAGGUUGCUGCUGGAA
This is a ribosomal RNA of Lepisosteus oculatus (spotted gar), 117 nucleotides long. NCBI's taxonomy places the organism in Eukaryota, Metazoa, Chordata, Actinopteri, Semionotiformes, Lepisosteidae. The record is from Rfam.